UUCCCAUCCUCUGUCGUGAAAGGGGUCGAGUGAUAGCGGGAGUUCGAUUCUUACCCAGUUCAAUUCUGACCCACGGCAGUUGCUUGAUUGUCACCAGGAUGAAUAUGGAAACGCGUCAUGCUACUGAAGGGGUGAAGGAGCUAAUCCCUAAUCCUUACUUUUAUUGACUUUCCUUCACUCACCUGCAGCUCCUCGUCCCAACCAGGAAGAAGAGGGAGAUGAUUAAAAGAAAAAAGAGGAGGAGGAAGAAGAUAAGAGGAAAAAGAGAACCCAAAAUUAAGAUAAGAUGAUGAUGAACAACAAGGGAAGAAUGCGUGAGAUUGUGUCACACAUAUGGAUAUUGUCUGACCCCAGUAUGGUAUUUGUGGAUUGCCUGAUGCAGGGAGGGAGUGAAGUGAGAGUGGCAGGCUCAAGUGUAUAGAUGGAAGCGGUAGAAGAAAGAAUAAAGGAGAAACAAAACAGGGAGAUGAAGAAAAAAAGAGAAAGGGAAAUGAAAAAAGAGGAGGAAGAGCCAAGCCGCAAUAUUUAGGCCGUCACUACCCUGCCUCCAACCACCGCCCCACUCCAGCUGCCUAUCAGUCACCACGUUGGUAUGGUAGACAGGGCCCUAAGCUGUCUAGUGGCCUGCUGAAUGCUGAGUAUGUGGUAAUGUUUGAGAAAAGAGAAAACGCCAGUCGUGCAUAGCAGAUCAAUGGAGGAAGAAGAAAUGGAGACGGAACAGAAAAUUAAGAGAAAGAAAAAAAGAAAAGAUAAAGAAGAGUCACCUGUUACAAA
Molecule: RNA transcript, 774 nt
Organism: Portunus trituberculatus (swimming crab)
Lineage: Eukaryota; Metazoa; Arthropoda; Malacostraca; Decapoda; Portunidae
Exons: 6
Source: RefSeq, a predicted model, not a curated record